UAGUGACCGCUAAGCCUGCCUGCUUUUC
Molecule: non-coding RNA, 28 nt
Filed under: Rattus norvegicus (Norway rat)
Lineage: Eukaryota; Metazoa; Chordata; Mammalia; Rodentia; Muridae
Source: RNAcentral